RNAcentral lists this ribosomal RNA (303 nucleotides) under uncultured bacterium. RNAcentral's name for it is "partial 16S ribosomal RNA". It matches the Rfam family "Bacterial small subunit ribosomal RNA", at positions 507 to 809 of the family's 1533-position model. The record is from RNAcentral.
AGCAGUAGCCACGGUAAUACGAAGGGUGCAAGCGUUAAUCGGAAUUACUGGGCGUAAAGCGUGCGUAGGCGGUGAGUUAAGUCUGCUGUGAAAUCCCCGGGCUCAACCUGGGAAUGGCAGUGGAUACUGGCAAGCUAGAGUGUGUCAGAGGAUGGUGGAAUUCCCGGUGUAGCAGUGAAAUGCGUAGAGAUCGGAAGGAACAUCUGUGGCGAAGGCGACUAUCUGGGCCAACACUGACACUGAGGCACGAAAGCGUGGGGAGCAAACAGGAUUAGAUACCCGUGUAGUCCCUGUCUCUUAUAA